RNAcentral lists this ribosomal RNA (631 nucleotides) under uncultured bacterium. Its description in RNAcentral is "bacterial SSU rRNA". It matches the Rfam family "Bacterial small subunit ribosomal RNA", at positions 9 to 656 of the family's 1533-position model. The record is from RNAcentral.
GAGUUUGAUCCUGGCUCAGGAUGAACGCUGGCGGCGUGCCUAAUACAUGCAAGUCGAACGGGGUGUUUGAGCAAUCGGACACUUAGUGGCGAACGGGUGAGUAACGCGUUGGUGACCUGCCCCAAAGCGGGGGAUAACAGCCUGAAAGGGUUGCUAAUACCGCAUAUGAUGAUGAGAGACUAGAAACUUAUCAUUAAAGGAGAAAUCCACUUUGGGAGGGGCCUGCGUCCCAUCAGCUAGUUGGUAGGGUAAAAGCCUACCAAGGCGAAGACGGGUAGGGGACCUGAGAGGGUGACCCCCCACAAUGGAACUGAAACACGGUCCAUACACCUACGGGUGGCAGCAGUAGGGGAUAUUGCACAAUGGGCGGAAGCCUGAUGCAGCAACGCCGCGUGAGUGAUGAAGGCCCUCGGGUCGUAAAACUCUUUUCAAGAGGAAGAGGAAGGACGGUACUCUUGGAAUAAGCCUCGGCUAACUACGUGCCAGCAGCCGCGGUAACACGUAGGAGGCGAGCGUUAUUCGGAUUUACUGGGCGUAAAGCGCGUGUAGGCGGCUGAUCAAGUUGGAUGUGAAAGCUCCCGGCUUAACUGGGAGAGGACGUUCAAAACUGAACAGCUUGAGUAUGAGAGAG